AACGAACGCUGGCGGCAUGCCUAACACAUGCAAGUCGAACGAGACCUUCGGGUCUAGUGGCGCACGGGUGCGUAACGCGUGGGAACCUGCCCUUAGGUUCGGAAUAACUCCCCGAAAGGGGUGCUAAUACCGGAUAAUGUCUUCGGACCAAAGAUUUAUCGCCUUUGGUUGGGCCCGCGUUGGAUUAGCUAGUUGGUAGGGUAAAAGCCUACCAAGGCGACGAUCCAUAGCUGGUCUGAGAGGAUGAUCAGCCACACUGGGACUGAGACACGGCCCAGACUCCUACGGGAGGCAGCAGUGGGGAAUAUUGGACAAUGGGCGAAAGCCUGAUCCAGCAAUGCCGCGUGAGUGAUGAAGGCCUUAGGGUUGUAAAGCUCUUUUACCCGGGAUGAUAAUGACAGUACCGGGAGAAUAAGCCCCGGCUAACUCCGUG
This 433-nucleotide ribosomal RNA is filed under the name uncultured bacterium. RNAcentral describes it as "partial 16S ribosomal RNA". It matches the Rfam family "Bacterial small subunit ribosomal RNA", at positions 29 to 507 of the family's 1533-position model. The record is from RNAcentral.